This 213-nucleotide unclassified non-coding RNA is filed under the name Hevea brasiliensis (rubber tree). Lineage: Eukaryota; Viridiplantae; Streptophyta; Magnoliopsida; Malpighiales; Euphorbiaceae. The record is from RNAcentral.
CAUCAGUGAUGCAUCUGAGCUGGUAUUAUCACUUAAAUCUUUUCCUUUUAUUUUAUUCACAGAAAUUUUCUUACUUUCAUACUGCAGUUUACUGCAAUUAGUAGAGGCUGGUUAGCUUGUGCUUGUUGAUGUCAAAUUAAAUGCCUUGUACGGUUUGAUAAUUGCGGGGGGUUUUGUUUAUUUGUCUUCCUUUUCAAUAUCCUCUUGCUUCGU